GAUUCUUUCUUCCCCGAUUGGAGGAAGAUUUGAAAGAGGGCUCUGGCUGUCUCUUAUAGAUGACCUUGCGGUGGCAUUAGGUAGUUGGUGGGGUAACGGCCUACCAAGACCAUGAUUGCAUAGCCGACCUGAGAGGGUGAUCGGCCACGUUGGGACUGAGACACGGCCCAAACUCCUACGGGAGGCAGCAGUAUGGAAUCUUCCGCAAUGGGCGAAAGCCUGACGGAGCAAUGCCGCGUGAGUGAAGAAGGCCUUCGGGUCGUAAAACUCUGUUAUAAGAGAAGAUUAAAUUGUAGAGUAACUGCUACAGUCUUGACGGUAUCUUAUCAGAAAGCCACGGCUAACUACAUGCCAGCUGCCGCGGUAAUACUAGGUGGCAAGGGUUGUUCGGAUUUAUUGGGCGUAAAGGGAGCGCAGGUGGUUUCUUAAGUCUGAUGUGAAAGCCCACGGCUUAACCGUGGAGGGUCAUUGGAAACUGGGACACUUGAGUACAGA
This 495-nucleotide ribosomal RNA is filed under the name Aerococcus sp. Z19-SB-E14. RNAcentral's name for it is "bacterial SSU rRNA". It matches the Rfam family "Bacterial small subunit ribosomal RNA", at positions 172 to 652 of the family's 1533-position model. Lineage: Bacteria; Bacillati; Bacillota; Bacilli; Lactobacillales; Aerococcaceae. The record is from RNAcentral.